This 480-nucleotide ribosomal RNA is filed under the name beta proteobacterium Z13. RNAcentral describes it as "bacterial SSU rRNA". It matches the Rfam family "Bacterial small subunit ribosomal RNA", at positions 377 to 850 of the family's 1533-position model. The record is from RNAcentral. Lineage: Bacteria; Pseudomonadati; Pseudomonadota; Betaproteobacteria.
GCAAGCCUNAUCCAGCAAUGCCGCGUGAGUGAAGAAGGCCUUCGGGUUGUAAAGCUCUUUUGUCAGGGAAGAAACGGUGAGUCCUAAUACGGCUUGCUAAUGACGGUACCUGAAGAAUAAGCACCGGCUAACUACGUGCCAGCAGCCGCGGUAAUACGUAGGGUGCAAGCGUUAAUCGGAAUUACUGGGCGUAAAGCGUGCGCAGGCGGUUAUAUAAGUCAGAUGUGAAAUCCCCGGGCUCAACCUGGGAACUGCAUUUGAGACUGUAUGGCUAGAGUGUGUCAGAGGGGGGUAGAAUUCCACGUGUAGCAGUGAAAUGCGUAGAUAUGUGGAGGAAUACCGAUGGCGAAGGCAGCCCCCUGGGAUAACACUGACGCUCAUGCACGAAAGCGUGGGGAGCAAACAGGAUUAGAUACCCUGGUAGUCCACGCCCUAAACGAUGUCUACUAGUUGUCGGGACUUAAUUGUCUUGGUAACGCA